Molecule: ribosomal RNA, 460 nt
Filed under: uncultured bacterium
Lineage: Bacteria
Description: partial 16S ribosomal RNA
Rfam family: Bacterial small subunit ribosomal RNA
Source: RNAcentral
CCUACGGGAGGCAGCAGUGAGGAAUAUUGCUCAAUGGGCGCGAGCCUGAACCAGCCAAGUAGCGUGAAGGAUGACUGCCCUACGGGUUGUAAACUCCUUUUAUCAAGGAAUAAAGUGAUUCACGUGUGCCUCUUUGUAUGUACUUUAUGAAUACGGAGCGGCUAACUCCGUCCCAGCAGCCGCGGUAAUACGGAGGUGCCGAGCGUUAUCCGGAUUUAUUGGGGUUAAAGGGAGCGUAGAUGGGGUGUUAACUCAGUUGUGAAAGUUUGCGGCUCAACCGGAAAAUUGCAAUUGAUACUGGCAGCCUUGAGUACAGUUGAGGUAGGCGGAAUUCGUGGUGUAGCGGUGAAAUGCUUAGAUAUCACGAAGAACUCCGAUUGCGAAGGCAGCCUACUAGACUGCCACUGACAUUGAUGCUCGAAAGUGUGGGUAUCAAACAGGAUUAGAUACCCGUGUAGUC